Molecule: non-coding RNA, 65 nt
Filed under: Candidatus Faecalibacterium faecigallinarum
Lineage: Bacteria; Bacillati; Bacillota; Clostridia; Eubacteriales; Oscillospiraceae
Description: Fluoride riboswitch
Rfam family: Fluoride riboswitch aptamer (crcB RNA motif)
Source: RNAcentral
GAUGGGAAUGAAGUUCUCCCCUGGCAUAAGCCUUAACCGCUUUUUUAAGCUGAUGACUUCUGCAA